CAGCACCUCAAGUGGUCAGGAUGAUUAUUGGGCCUAAAGCAUCCGUAGCCGGCUCUGUAAGUUUUCGGUUAAAUCUGUAUGCUCAACAUACAGGCUGCCGGGAAUACUGCAGAGCUAGGGAGUGGGAGAGGUAGACGGUACUCGGUAGGAAGGGGUAAAAUCCUUUGAUCUAUUGAUGACCACCUGUGGCGAAGGCGGUCUACCCGAACACGUCCGACGGUGAGGGAUGAAAGCUGGGGGAGCAAACCGGAUUAGAUACCCGAGUAGUCC
RNAcentral lists this ribosomal RNA (270 nucleotides) under uncultured archaeon. RNAcentral's name for it is "partial 16S ribosomal RNA". It matches the Rfam family "Archaeal small subunit ribosomal RNA", at positions 477 to 747 of the family's 1478-position model. The record is from RNAcentral.